This 273-nucleotide ribosomal RNA is filed under the name Triticum aestivum (bread wheat). RNAcentral describes it as "partial small subunit ribosomal RNA". The record is from RNAcentral. Lineage: Eukaryota; Viridiplantae; Streptophyta; Magnoliopsida; Poales; Poaceae.
AUGUACAGCGGUUCCAAGCCCACCUCGGAGAUGAGGAACUCAGACCUGCGCUGCAUCCGUCCACCUGAAGGUGUUCUUCAAGUAGUUCACCCUGGCUGCGAUCUUGUCCUCGCUGAGAAAUGCAACAGCGUGCAGCGCGUGCCUGAACAUCCCAGAGGCACGGGGCACACCUAUGUUUUCAGCGCAUUCCACCAUCGCCUGGACACGCCCCAGGUUGGCGGUGAGAAGCCAUGGUUGCCUGCUGCAUAGCUUGGCAAUAUCACAAGCACCUAG